CUACGUGCCAGCAGCCGCGGUAAUACGUAGGGUGCGAGCGUUAAUCGGAAUUACUGGGCGUAAAGCGGGCGCAGACGGUUACUUAAGCAGGAUGUGAAAUCCCCGGGCUCAACCUGGGAACUGCGUUCUGAACUGGGUAACUAGAGUGUGUCAGAGGGAGGUAGAAUUCCACGUGUAGCAGUGAAAUGCGUAGAGAUGUGGAGGAAUACCGAUGGCGAAGGCAGCCUCCUGGGAUAACACUGACGUUCAUGCCCGAAAGCGUGGGUAGCAAACAGGAUUAGAUACCCUGGUAGUCCACGCUGUAAACGAUGUCGAUUUGGGGGUUGAGCUUUGAGCUUGGCGCCCGUAGCUAACGCGAUAAAUCGACCGCCUGGGGAGUACGGCCGCAAGGUUAAAACUCAAAUGAAUUGACGGGGGCCCGCACAAGCGGUGGAACAUGUGGUUUAAUUCGAUGAUACGCGAGGAACCUUACCCGGGCUUGAA
Molecule: ribosomal RNA, 483 nt
Filed under: uncultured bacterium
Lineage: Bacteria
Description: bacterial SSU rRNA
Rfam family: Bacterial small subunit ribosomal RNA
Source: RNAcentral